GGUUAUGGCUCAGCGGUAGAGCAUUUGCCUAGCAUGUGUAAGGCCCUGGGUUCGAACCUCAGCACCA
Molecule: transfer RNA, 67 nt
Filed under: Marmota monax (woodchuck)
Lineage: Eukaryota; Metazoa; Chordata; Mammalia; Rodentia; Sciuridae
Description: tRNA.Ala
Source: RNAcentral